UGAGGAAUCUUGCGCAAUGGGGGAAACCCUGACGCAGCAACGCCGCGUGAGUGAGGAAGGACUUCGGGUCGUAAAGCUCUGUCAGAUGGGAAGAAAUGGGUGGGGGCUAAUAUCGUCCAUCCUUGACGGUACCAUCAGAGGAAGCACCGGCUAACUCCGUGCCAGCAGCCGCGGUAAUACGGGGGGUGCAAGCGUUGUUCGGAAUCAUUGGGCGUAAAGCGCGCGCAGGCGGCUUGGUAAGUCAGAUGUGAAAUCCCUGGGCAUAACCCAGGAAGUGCAUUUGAUACUGCUUCGCUAGAGUACGGGAGAGGAAAGUGGAAUUCCUGGUGUAGAGGUGAAAUUCGUAGAUAUCAGGAGGAACACCGGUGGCGAAGGCGACUUUCUGGCCCGAUACUGACGCUCAGGCGCGAAAGCGUGGGGAGCAAACA
This 428-nucleotide ribosomal RNA is filed under the name uncultured prokaryote. RNAcentral's name for it is "bacterial SSU rRNA". It matches the Rfam family "Bacterial small subunit ribosomal RNA", at positions 355 to 774 of the family's 1533-position model. The record is from RNAcentral.